This 497-nucleotide ribosomal RNA is filed under the name uncultured bacterium. Its description in RNAcentral is "partial 16S ribosomal RNA". It matches the Rfam family "Bacterial small subunit ribosomal RNA", at positions 28 to 507 of the family's 1533-position model. The record is from RNAcentral.
GAUGAACGCUGGCGGCGUGCCUAAUACAUGCAAGUCGAGCGAACGGACGAGAAGCUUGCUUCUCUGAUGUUAGCGGCGGACGGGUGAGUAACACGUGGAUAACCUACCUAUAAGACUGGGAUAACUUCGGGAAACCGGAGCUAAUACCGGAUGAUAUUUUGAACCGCAUGGUUCAAAAGUGAAAGACGGUCUUGCUGGCACUUAUAGAUGGAUCCGCGCUGCAUUAGCUAGUUGUUAAGGUAACGGCUUACCAAGGCAACGAUGCAUAGCCGACCUGAGAGGGUGAUCGGCCACACUGGAACUGAGCCACGGUCCAGAAUCCUAAGGGAGGCAGCAGUAGGGAAUCUUCCGCAAUGGGCGAAAGCCUGACGGAGCAACGCCGCGUGAGUGAUGAAGGUCUUCGGAUCGUAAAACUCUGUUAUUAGGGAAGAACAUAUGUGUAAGUAACUGUGCACAUCUUGACGGUACCUAAUCAGAAAGCCACGGCUAACUACGUG